CAUAAGAGACCGCUCCCGGUCUUGCAACCUUGCCCAUCGUACCCUUGUGUUGUUCCCUCGGCACGGCGUGCAGCCUGCCGGUGGGAAGCUCGACAAAACCUUGCAACAUGGCAUACAAAAAACUUCUGAUCAUAAACCUAAAUCAUCA
RNAcentral lists this unclassified non-coding RNA (148 nucleotides) under uncultured fungus. RNAcentral describes it as "sequence contains ITS1". Lineage: Eukaryota; Fungi. The record is from RNAcentral.